GACCCAUUAGCUCAGUUGGUUAGAGAGUCGUGCUAAUACCGCCAAGGUGCAGGUUCCAAACCUGCAUGGGCCA
Non-coding RNA from Arabis alpina (gray rockcress), 73 nucleotides. The record is from Rfam. NCBI's taxonomy places the organism in Eukaryota, Viridiplantae, Streptophyta, Magnoliopsida, Brassicales, Brassicaceae.